GAGAUGACAGCUACUUACUCCAUAACCUGGUUAGUCUAUAUUGGAGCUGAUUACAUUUCAAACGGGUCAUUAUCUAAAUUUGACAGGCUGUGUGAGAAAAAAUAGGUAAUCACAGCCAGACAGAUCCAGUCUUUUACUGUAAAAGUAGAUAUCAACUCCAUUAAUGUUAACACAGGGCUGGGAAUCCUCGCUUAAAAGUAAUCUGUAUGCAAUUAUAUGAUUUCAAGCUGAAAAUGUAUUAAUAAUUAAGUGAAAACCAAAUGAUCAUUAUUACUGUUUAAUGUAUAAUUGUGGUUUUCUGCCUAUGAGUACAAAUUUUCAUUUAUUUUUGCAGCACUAAUAAGGAAAAUGACUAAGUUUGCUAUGAAAUUAGAAUAUGUUAAACAGACAUUCACAAAAGUCAGGUACCAUUAUCCAUGUUCUUCCCACACAUAAACGUCCUUCUCUAUCACUCAAACCUUUAUAUAAAAAAAGUGCACAUCAUCUCCAAGGAAGUGUAGUAAACUGUUUGAGGUAUGUUAACAAGACCUCCCCUUUCUAACACAUUUCACUCAGCCUGUCACUUUACAGAAAAUGAAAUGAUGUCCUUGUCAUCCUUUCUUCCAGACCAGAGAUAUUUCCUUAUUAGGAGUGCAGGAAGAAGCAAGGUUGGAAGACUUAUCCGAAGUAUGAUGUGUGAUGCAGAAUGAAUGACACUUUUAAUAAACACUGAAGAAUUACAAAAACAAACUACACAGUACUGAUGACAUCAUAAACUGAGGAAACACAGGGCUUAGAUUCACAGAGGAGGACCAUUAAAUAAACAUAAAACAAUGAGGGAAUCAAGGACAGCACCUGGUGAUCAGUGGUUCCUAUUUAAAAAGAGAGAGAGAGAGAGAGAGAGAGAGAGAGAGAAACCGGAGGUUGUGCCCCAAUCAGGGCUGCUUGAUAUGAAAAAAAAAAGGACAGGAAAGUUUUUUAUAUACAUUUAUCAAAUGGCUUGAAUAGCGCUAUUUGGAAAGAAUCAGACACUCUUUUAUCAAUCCAGGCUAGAGUCAGUUAUCUAACAUUAUUAGUAAUGCA
Long non-coding RNA from Cyprinus carpio carpio, 1062 nucleotides. Lineage: Eukaryota; Metazoa; Chordata; Actinopteri; Cypriniformes; Cyprinidae. The record is from Ensembl.